AUGGAGGACAUGGUAGAUGAGUACCUAUAUCUACUUGGUCAGGACCGUGAUAUAGGGUGUUGCUUUUACGUGAAGAAAGGGUUAAGAAAACCAAGAUCUCUGCUUUCUCUGAACCGGAUAGCUUUCAAGGUGAAACAAAUAGAGAAAGACCUCACACACCAGUCAGAGACUAAAAACCGUUGGCUUCCCAUGAUAAACACCGGGGAUCCUAGCAGCUCGAAUUACAUUGUAAAGAGGUCCCAAGAUCUAGCGAACACUUCACGAUCCCUUGAUGAAGAAGAUCUAGUCGGGAUGGAUAAAAGCCGAGAACAACUUGAGCAAUUGUUGGCAGGUGAUGAUUUGGAGCGCGUUGUGAUAGCCCUGCUUGGAAUGGGAGGACUUGGCAAAACAACUUUGGCUGCAAAUGUAUAUAGGAAGGAGAGACAAAAGUUCCAAUGUCACGCCUGGGUCUCCAUAUCCCAAACUUAUUUUACAGAAGAUAUCUUAAGGAACAUAAUCAAAGAACUUUUCAAACAUGAAGUUGGUGUUCCAUCUAACAUUGCGACAAUGGACAUCACAUGCCUUGAAGAGACACUGAAGACAUUUCUAAAGCAACAAAAGUAUUUGAUCAUAUUGGAUGAUGUUUGGAAUCCACAGGCAUUUGAUGGCUUGUCUAGAGCCCUUAUUCAUAAUGAUAAAGGCAGUAGAGUAAUAAUCACAACAAGGCAAGGGGAUGUUGCUGCACUUGCCUCUCGAGGACAUAUCUUAACACUAGAAGCUUUACCAGAAGAGAAGGCACGUGAUCUCUUUUGUAGGAAAGCCUUUCCAAGAGAUACAAAUUAUGAAUGUCCUGCCGAGUUGAAGUCUUUGUCAGCAGAAAUUGUUUCCAAGUGCAAAGGCUUACCUCUUGUUAUUGUUUUAGUCGGCAGCCUCUUGCGUGUGCGUGAGAAAACUGUCGAAGAAUGGAGAAGAAUAAAUGACCAAUUGAGUUGGGAGCUAAUUAAUAAUUCGAGGCUUGAUCACAUAAGGAAUAUUUUACACCUGAGCUUCAUCUACCUUCCAACACACUUGAAAAGUUGCUUCUUGUACUGCAGCUUAUUUCCAGAAGACUAUCUUUUUAAGAGGAAACAUCUUGUACGGUUAUGGACAGCAGAGAUGUUCAUCGAGGAGAGGGGUGAAAGCACAUUAGAAGAAGUAGCAGAAGGCUGUCUGAAGGACUUGAUUGAUAGAAACCUGCUACAACUUGUUAAAAGGAACAGUUUUGGUAGGAUGAAGGCAUUCAGAAUGCACGACAUCUUACGUGAAUUGGCGGUUGAAUUGUGCCAUAAGAACUGUUUUGGUGUCACAUACAAGGAUGAUUGUGGGGUGUCUCUUGAGACGGAUGGACGUCGAUUGGUACUGCAUAGACCAAAGAAGGAUAUUCAGCUGCCUUUUUCCAGUAUACACCGACUUCGUACGAUCAUUACUCUGAAUGCAUGCAUGGUAUCAUUCACUCUACUACAUAUGCUAUGUAAGAAGUCGAGAUAUAUGACGGUGCUGGAAUUAAGUGGUCUGCCCAUCGAGAAGAUUCCAGAUGAUAUUGGACAUCUUUUUAAUCUCCGCCAUUUAGGUUUGCGUAAUUCAAAAGUGAAGAUGCUUCCAAAAUCCAUCGAGAAGCUCUCAAAUUUGUUGACACUAGACCUUCAUGGAUCAGACAUACGUGAGUUGCCUAGUUGGAUUACCAAACUGAAGAAGCUCCGACACUUAUUUGUUGAGAAAAAAUUUCAGCCAUAUAGAGAGAUUCAAAGUAACAAUGGUGUGCGUAUCCCCAAUGGUCUUGGAAAUCUAACAAACUUACAGACACUACAAGCAUUGGAAGCGCAAGCUACAUCUGUUAGACAGUUAGGGGAGCUAACACAACUAAGAAGCUUGAGGUUAUGGAAUGUCAAGGAAAUUGACUGUAGAUGCAUUAGUGAUUCUCUAGUUCAGAUGCGACAUUUGUCCAACCUAUAUGUGAGUGCAAGUGAUGACAACGAGAUUCUGUUGCUGAAUUUACGCCUGCCAAGCCUGCAAAAGUUAUCUUUGAUAGGACGGCUAGUGAGAAGAACAUUGCACAAGUCUCCUCUCUUCCAAGCUGUCGAAGGGCAAAACUUGUAUUCAUUGGCUCUAUCUUGGUCACAACUGACAGAAGACCCCCUUUCAUACUUAUCUCCAUUGUCCAAUUUGACAUAUCUACAGUUCACCAGAGCAUACACUGGAGAGAAGUUGACAUUUCUCACUGGAUGGUUUCCCAAGCUAAAGUUUCUCCAUCUAAGAGACAUGCCUAAUUUGAAUAGGCUAGAGAUAGAACAAGGUACCAUGGUGAGCCUGGAAAGAUUAGCACUAGUCAACCUCGAGAGCAUGAUGGAGGUUCCACUUGGCAUCAAGUUCCUCAUGCCCCUCCAAUAUGUAGGCUUCCACGAAAUCACCGGUUACUUCUUGAUGUUGCUCCAGCAAUGUUCUGCGAUUCGAGGGACGCAAUGGGGGUAUAGUCUCCGACGUUGA
Molecule: ribosomal RNA, 2502 nt
Filed under: Triticum aestivum (bread wheat)
Lineage: Eukaryota; Viridiplantae; Streptophyta; Magnoliopsida; Poales; Poaceae
Description: partial small subunit ribosomal RNA
Source: RNAcentral